RNAcentral lists this ribosomal RNA (551 nucleotides) under uncultured Acaulospora. RNAcentral's name for it is "SSU rRNA". It matches the Rfam family "Eukaryotic small subunit ribosomal RNA", at positions 548 to 1098 of the family's 1831-position model. The record is from RNAcentral. Lineage: Eukaryota; Fungi; Glomeromycota; Glomeromycetes; Diversisporales; Acaulosporaceae.
UUGGAGGGCAAGUCUGGUGCCAGCAGCCGCGGUAAUUCCAGCUCCAAUAGCGUAUAUUAAAGUUGUUGCAGUUAAAAAGCUCGUAGUUGAAUUUCGGAAUCUGUCCGUCGGUCGGGCUUCACUGUCCGUACUGGUGUGAUGGGUUUCUACCUUCUGAAUAACCGGCAUGUCAUUAAUUUGGUGCGCCGGGGAAGCAGAACUAUUACCUUGAAAAAAUUAGAGUGCUUAAAGCAGGCUAUCGCCUGAAUAGAUUAGCAUGGAAUAAUAAAAUAGGACGGCAUGGUUCUAUUUUGUUGGUUUCUAGGAUCACCGUAAUGAUUAAUAGGGAUAGUUGGGGGCAUUAGUAUUCAAUUGUCAGAGGUGAAAUUCUUGGAUUUAUUGAAGACUAACUUCCGCGAAAGCAUUUGCCAAGGAUGGUUUCAUUAAUCAAGAACGAAAGUUAGGGGAUCGAAGACGAUCAGAUACCGUCGUAGUCUUAACCAUAAACUAUGCCGACUAGGGAUCGGACGAUGUUAAUUUUUUAAUGACUCGUUCGGCGCCUUACGGGAAAC